AACGAACGCUGGCGGCAUGCCUAACACAUGCAAGUCGAACGAGACCUUCGGGUCUAGUGGCGCACGGGUGCGUAACGCGUGGGAAUCUGCCCUUGGGUUCGGAAUAACUCGCCGAAAGGCGUGCUAAUACCGGAUGAUGACUUAAGUCCAAAGAUUUAUCGCCCCAGGAUGAGCCCGCGUUGGAUUAGCUAGUUGGUGAGGUAAAGGCUCACCAAGGCGACGAUCCAUAGCUGGUCUGAGAGGAUGAUCAGCCACACUGGGACUGAGACACGGCCCAGACUCCUACGGGAGGCAGCAGUGGGGAAUAUUGGACAAUGGGCGAAAGCCUGAUCCAGCAAUGCCGCGUGAGUGAUGAAGGCCUUAGGGUUGUAAAGCUCUUUUACCCGGGAUGAUAAUGACCGUACCGGGAGAAUAAGCUCCGGCUAACUCCGUG
RNAcentral lists this ribosomal RNA (433 nucleotides) under uncultured bacterium. RNAcentral describes it as "partial 16S ribosomal RNA". It matches the Rfam family "Bacterial small subunit ribosomal RNA", at positions 29 to 507 of the family's 1533-position model. The record is from RNAcentral.